UCUGAGGAGCGUUGCAACGGAUUCUUAAUCCGCUAGGCUCAGACAAGUACGGCACAUUUGCAACGGCGCUCGCUU
This 75-nucleotide non-coding RNA is filed under the name marine eukaryotic metagenome. RNAcentral describes it as "S-adenosyl-L-homocysteine riboswitch". It matches the Rfam family "SAH (S-adenosyl-L-homocysteine) riboswitch aptamer". The record is from RNAcentral.